AAGCAUCUAAGCAUGAAGCCCCCCUCAAGAUGAGAUUUCCCAACUUCGGUUAUAAGAUCCCUCAAAGAUGAUGAGGUUAAUAGGUUCGAGGUGGAAGCGUGGUGACACGUGGAGCUGACGAAUACUAAUCGAUCGAAGACUUAAUCAAU
RNAcentral lists this ribosomal RNA (149 nucleotides) under Staphylococcus pasteuri. RNAcentral describes it as "23S rRNA. Bacterial LSU". It matches the Rfam family "Bacterial large subunit ribosomal RNA", at positions 2775 to 2925 of the family's 2925-position model. The record is from RNAcentral. Lineage: Bacteria; Bacillati; Bacillota; Bacilli; Caryophanales; Staphylococcaceae.